AUCAUUAACGAAUAAAUUGUCCAUCUCUGGACAUUUAAUCCUUCAAACACCUGUGAACGAUUUAUAAAAAAACCUUUGCUUUGGUUGGGGUGCUGCCCUGACCAAAGGUAUAAAUCAAAACCCUUUUAUUUUAAAACCUUGAAAUGUCUGAACUGAAAGAAUAAUAAAUUAUCCAAAACUUUCAACAACGGAUCUCUUGGUUCUCGCAUCGAUGAAGAACGCAGCGAAAUGCGAUAAGUAAUGUGAAUUGCAGAAUUUCGUGAAUCAUCGAAUCUUUGAACGCACAUUGCGCCCCUUGGUAUCCCAGGGGGCAUACCUGUUUGAGCGUCAUUUCUCUCUUAAACUCUCGGGUUUAGUGUUGAAUUGAUUUCUUCGGCUUUAGAAGAUAAUUCGAAAUUGAUUGGCAAGGCAAAUCCAGUCUUAAGCUUUACAGUGUCUUAGGUUUUACCAACUACGCUGGCUUUAUUGAGCUUUUUGGAUUUUAUCAGGCCUGGCCUUUUAAAAAUCGACGUUUUAAAGUUUGACCUCAAAUCAGGCAAGAUUACCCGCUGAACUUAAGCAUAUCAAUAAGCGGAGGA
Molecule: ribosomal RNA, 578 nt
Filed under: uncultured Stephanoascus
Lineage: Eukaryota; Fungi; Ascomycota; Dipodascomycetes; Dipodascales; Dipodascaceae
Description: eukaryotic LSU rRNA
Rfam family: 5.8S ribosomal RNA (bases 177-330)
Source: RNAcentral